AGGAAAGUAUUUGCAUUAAUGAUACAUAGGGGACACGGAUCACAAGAAGAAGAAAAAGACCAAUCCAGCAGCGUCAUUUGACAAGCUUUAUCAAAGAAGGGAGAGGGGUCUUCAGCCUCAUGCCGCUUUCGCAGUGCCUCUGUCGCGCUACCGUCGUCACCUCGUGGCGGCCUCACGCAACUGGGGCAUGUACCGAUGAUGCCAAGGAGGCGUGCCACCCUUUGCGAAGGUGCUCCUCCUUCCACGUAGUUUGGAGUCUAGAAUACCUAGGGUUUUCCAACCCUGUUGUCUAAUUAUGAGUUGAGAUGGGUUGUCCUGACCCAGUUUCUACCCUAGCCCGAAAAAGAACAUUGUUAUGUACACCUUUUUUUUUAACAUAUACACCUCCUUUUCUUUUGGGCUUAGUCUCUUUCUUUUUUAGUCUGAAAUAAAAUAAAAAUCGUUAUGUACA
This is a long non-coding RNA of Glycine soja, 451 nucleotides long. RefSeq lists it as uncharacterized. The transcript is spliced from 2 exons. NCBI's taxonomy places the organism in Eukaryota, Viridiplantae, Streptophyta, Magnoliopsida, Fabales, Fabaceae. The record is from RefSeq and is a predicted model, not a curated record.